This 993-nucleotide ribosomal RNA is filed under the name Bacillus sp. Bac119. RNAcentral describes it as "bacterial SSU rRNA". It matches the Rfam family "Bacterial small subunit ribosomal RNA", at positions 239 to 1224 of the family's 1533-position model. Lineage: Bacteria; Bacillati; Bacillota; Bacilli; Caryophanales; Bacillaceae. The record is from RNAcentral.
CAUUAGCUAGUUGGUGAGGUAACGGCUCACCAAGGCGACGAUGCGUAGCCGAACUGANAGGGUGAUCGGCCACACUGGGACUGAAACACGGCCCAAACUCCUACGGGAGGCAGCAGUAGGGAAUCUUCCGCAAUGGACGAAAGUCUGACGGAGCAACGCCGCGUGAGUGAUGAAGGUUUUCGGAUCGUAUAGCUCUGUUGUUAGGGAAGAACAAGUGCAAGAGUAACUGCUUGCACCAUGACGGUACCUAACCAGAAAGCCACGGCUAACUACGUGCCAGCAGCCGCGGUAAUACGUAGGUGGCAAGCGUUGUCCGGAAUUAUUGGGCGUAAAGGGCUCGCAGGCGGUUUCUUAAGUCUGAUGUGAAAGCCCCCGGCUCAACCGGGGAGGGUCAUUGGAAACUGGGAAACUUGAGUGCAGAAGAGGAGAGUGGAAAUUCCACGUGUAGCGGUGAAAUGCGUAGAGAUGUGGAGGAACACCAGUGGCGAAGGCGACUCUCUGGUCUGUAACUGACGCUGAGGAGCGAAAGCGUGGGGAGCGAACAGGAUUAGAUACCCUGGUAGUCCACGCCGUAAACGAUGAGUGCUAAGUGUUAGGGGGUUUCCGCCCCUUAGUGCUGCAGCUAACGCAUUAAGCACUCCGCCUGGGGAGUACGGUCGCAAGAUUGAAACUCAAAGGAAUUGACGGGGGCCCGCACAAGCGGUGGAGCAUGUGGUUUAAUUCGAAGCAACGCGAAGAACCUUACCAGGUCUUGACAUCCUCUGACAACCCUAGAGAUAGGGCUUUCCCUUCGGGGACAGAGUGACAGGUGGUGCAUGGUUGUCGUCAGCUCGUGUCGUGAGAUGUUGGGUUAAGUCCCGCAACGAGCGCAACCCUUGAUCUUAGUUGCCAGCAUUCAGUUGGGCAAUUUAAGGUGACUGCCGGUGACAAACCGGAGGAAGGUGGGGAUGACGUCAAAUCAUCAUGCCCCUUAUGACCUGGGCUACACACGUG